AUGUCCUGGUGGAAAAUAUGCGUACCUAAAAAUCAAGGAGGGAUGGGAUUCCGUGAUAUUCAUUGUUUCAACUUAGUAUUGCUCGCCAAACAGGCAUGGCGUCUUCUGAAUAAUCAUAAUUCCCUGUGUGAUUCUAUCCCAAGUGCAAACUAUUACCCUGGCGGUGAUUCGCUAAAUGCUAAGUUAAGGAAAGGCUCCUCUUUUACUUGGCAGAGUAUUAUGGCAGGCACAAACAAUCUGAAACGUGGUUACAUCUAGCGAGUGAGGAAUGGACAUGAUAUCAAUAUGUGGGAAGAUGCCUGGAUACCAAACCACACCACUAGGAAAAUUGUCACGCCUAAGGGGGGGCUGUUAACGAAGCUAGGUGAUCUCGUUGACCCUGUUUCCAACAGUUGGGACGAGGACUUGAUUAGAAAAACUAUGUGGCCAAUUGAUGUUCAAACUAUUCUAUCAAUUCCAAUCCCGCGUCAUAAUAUGCUAGAUUUCAUUGCUUGGAUUUAUAUGAAAAAUGGUAUGUUCUCAGUUCGGUCAGCUUAUUCUAUGGAGUGGGACCACUAG
This 558-nucleotide ribosomal RNA is filed under the name Triticum aestivum (bread wheat). RNAcentral's name for it is "partial small subunit ribosomal RNA". The record is from RNAcentral. Lineage: Eukaryota; Viridiplantae; Streptophyta; Magnoliopsida; Poales; Poaceae.